GCCGACGUAGCUCAAUGGGAGAGCAGCUGAUUCGUAAUCAGCAGGUUGUAGGUUCAAAUCCUAUCGUCGGCUCCA
This 75-nucleotide transfer RNA is filed under the name subsurface metagenome. RNAcentral's name for it is "tRNA-Thr". It matches the Rfam family "tRNA". Rfam says of the family: Transfer RNA (tRNA) molecules are approximately 80 nucleotides in length. Their secondary structure includes four short double-helical elements and three loops (D, anti-codon, and T loops). The record is from RNAcentral.